UACGGAGGGUGCGAGCGUUGUCCGGAAUCACUGGGCGUAAAGGGCGCGUAGGCGGCCUGAUAAGUAGGGGGUGAAAUCCUGCGGCUUAACCGCAGGGCUGCCUUCUAAACUGUCAGGCUGGAGCACAGUAGAGGCAGGUGGAAUUCCCGGUGUAGCGGUGGAAUGCGUAGAGAUCGGGAAGAACAUCAGUGGCGAAGGCGGCCUGCUGGGCUGUUGCUGACGCUGAGGCGCGACAGCGUGGGGAGCAAACAGGG
Molecule: ribosomal RNA, 254 nt
Filed under: uncultured bacterium
Lineage: Bacteria
Description: partial 16S ribosomal RNA
Rfam family: Bacterial small subunit ribosomal RNA
Source: RNAcentral